AUUUGGAACAAUAGACAAAAUUCUUUUGUCUACAUUCAGCGGACAAUGGUCGAGGGGAUAACACCAUUGCCUCCGAACUUUGCAGUGCUGGUUCGAGGCCCGAACCCUCCAGAGAUUUGUCUUUGCAGUUUUUCUCUCGCAUUAGCGCCUGUUUGAAUGUUUUUUUUUCUUUUUUUCUUCUUCUAAUGACGUCAUCACAAAAAGAGUAUAAAAGGCGUCAAGAUCGCGACGCUCAUUCUUGCACUCACCACUGACAGCGAGAGCCACGUUGCUCUGGUCCACCUGCUGCGCCGGCCGUACAACAACGUGUAAACGUGACAAGCGUCUAGUUGCACUUUGGGCGUGCUUCCAUCUUGCAAGCUCAAAGGUUUGCAGAAGCUAGCGUUAGCAGUUAACAUCUCCAACGACCACCAAAACGCAUUUAUCUGGCGUGCAACCAAACAAUUUAAGAAUGCAACGGUGGCAACGUCUGGACGACAGCGCCGUUUGGCCGAAGGUGCAAACCCUCAAAACGAGCCUGUCAUGGCCGACUGACUUUGUGAGUUUUAAAGUCAACUCUUUCAAUCGACUGCUUCUAAUUGUCUUCUCAUUUCUGUCCCCAGGCAGGCCUGCAUCUGGAACCGAGGGAACAGGGUGACUGCAAAAUGGCAAAAAUAUGUUUAUUAGCAAGGCAUCUUGUCAAAUUGACUAAAGCAAACAUUUGUUCUUUUUGUUUUGUUUGCAGGGUCCAAAAUGGCCACCUUGCAGUCCUCGCAUGGCUUCAUGGGACACUUGCAGGUCUACUCUUGCUCAAUUUGCUUGUUAGGCUGAAAAUGUAAAAGCAGAAUGGUUGUAACGUUACCGUGUCUUUCAGACCAGCGAGCUGCAGUUGGAGAGACGUCCGGUGCUGCCCUCCAUUCAUCACUGGUGAAACACGCACGUGUCCAAACGUUUGACACAUGUCAAACACUUCAGCAUGUUCUUCCUCCUUUUGUCCACCAGGUGGGACCAAAGGACCUAGUUUCUGUAGCAUGGUGAAGAUCUAAAUGGUUUUAAUCUUGUGUCAUCAUCAACCUCUUGUCCAGGGGAUUAUAAACUUGGUAUUGUUUAAAAGCACUUACCCGCUUUAUUUUUUAUGCCUCCCUCUUCCUGCAGAGCACUUUCCAGUAAAGAUGCAGUUGGAACAUCCGCUACCUGCUGGCCAAAGAUAAAACCCCUCCAAAGCCAUGCAGAGGUACUUUCAGGUUGUCUCCAUUCUCAGAGUUGACACACAAAUAAAACGUACUAAAUGGCAGCUUGAUUGGUUUGUGUUGUGUGCAGGUAUCCAUCCUGGAGAAUUUUUACAACAUUUCAGGAACUCUGCCUGUGAAACAGCAACUAGCUGCUUCCACUCUACAGUAAAAAACAAAAGCAGUAAACAUAAAUGGAGUCAUUGUGACAAUUUCCUUUUUCUUUCCAGGCAGAGGUGGCAAAUCCAGGUCCAGAAAGUGAAAAGCCUGCCACAAUUUGUCUUCAGCUUCUGAGCUCGUUCAUCUGGAUCUGUGCUGCCUGAAGAGCCCUCCGCUGUGUGGAUCACCAGCCGCUCGUAGCGGAAGCUGAGGACAAGAGCAAAGCCGCAUACCAGCAGUACUUUCUUAUUUGCUCAGCUCUAAGGCAACCUGAGAAGAAGCAAAGAACAAAAUCAACUUCCUGAGUCAUGCAGCAAGGAACAAAAUUGGCUACCUGGUCAUGCAGCUUGCAGUACGCGGUGCCAUAAACAACUCAACUUGCGCACUGGUCCAGGCAUGGAGUACCACUCGUCGCACCGGCGUACCACUCGUCGCACCGGCGUACCACUCGUCGCACCGGCGUACCACUCGUCGCACCGGCGUACCACUCGUCGCACCGGCGUACCACUCGUCGCACCGGCGUACC
Long non-coding RNA from Syngnathus typhle (broad-nosed pipefish), 1893 nucleotides. RefSeq lists it as uncharacterized. The record is from RefSeq and is a predicted model, not a curated record. Lineage: Eukaryota; Metazoa; Chordata; Actinopteri; Syngnathiformes; Syngnathidae. The transcript has 7 exons.